AAGUAAAGCGCAUGUCAGUGAAUAAUUUCGCAGUGAAGGUAGAGGUGGGGCUGGGCUGGUACACUGUAGUUGACACUGCUGGCCCUCUAUCGUCCCCUAGCCAGCACUUGCAGGCGUCUCUCGACACACAUAGACCGACUCAUAUAUGGUAUAGGGGAAAUCUCACUCUGAUUAUGGAAGAAGUUAUCUGAAGGGUGAGUCGGCCCUGGAAAAAGAAAUCAGCACUAAGUCAGCGAGCGUCCUUGACUGCUAAUAGCGUCACUUAACUAGUUGACCGUAAGUAUAUAUCACAGUCGUACUACAGGUGCACCCGUCCUUUCGCGUUGCCACAACGGACUUUAAAUAAGGUACUAAAAUGCGCAGACCUAACUUAACCGCCCCCUCUCCCCCUAUCGACCCACACGUGUAAAAUUAACCCAUUCACCCGAAGUGACACUACUUGUAAUUAUUUGGGGGAAAAUUCCAACGUGCAAUAAUGAACCAUCAGUAAACACCGUUGUACUGUUAAUGUUACAGUCCUGACAAAAAUAAAGCUAAAAACCAAACUUAAAUAUGCUUAGUAUACCACCUGUGUGCACUACAUAUUAGGCCUAGGAAUGCUAGGAGAGGUCCUCAAGUGACCAUUCUGGUGCUCCAUCACUACAUACUUUAUGUGCUUUCGUUUUAGGAGGCUGGGCUGUAGACAGCGUGGUUAUUCCUGAGCCAACCUAUCCUCUCGAAUAUUACAUGGCAUUUUGACGUCAAAAUCCCCAGCGGACAAAAUAUGAUAUGCUAAAGAUAAGAGCGGCUGGCAAACAUUCACGUUUUCUAUGAGUGGGUGGGUGAGUUAGGCUAGGCUCGGGUGCUUGUGUCCCAUGUACUGUUUGUUCUGUUCGUCGCUACAGUCUACCCGGCUCGCUGAUGCCUUUUGGUAAUUAGUACUUGUCCGUUGUGGCAACUCGAGUGGACACACUGCCUGAGCUGCUAUGAUUUAUAGUACCAUGUUAUUUUUCCGUUGGGAGUUUUGACGUCAAUAUGUGAUGUAUUAUUUGAGAGGAUGGGUUGAUAGGAGACACAGGGCACACUAGUAGGAAGUACCCACUGUAUGGUGACAGUACGGAUGCUGCAGAUGCGAAGAGCUUAUCAAGUGUUCAUGCUAGAGAUGCGAGGAAAUGGGAAGGGAAUUAUCCGGAGAAAUCGCCAAGUCAUUACGACUAUAUAGCACUUGGAAGGGAUCAGAUUAAAGAUUUUAGAUGGGACGGGGGGAAGGAAUGGUGCCCAACCACUUGGACGGUCGGGGAUUGAACGCCGACCUGCAUGAAGCGAGACAGUCGAUCUACCGUUCAGCCCAUGUGGUUGUGGAGCUUAUCAAGUGUUGAUACAGAGUUGCCACACAAGUUGAUAGGUAAUGAGUGUUAUUGGGAGCGGUGUUGCACUGUAUCAGAUAGAGGCUGCUGUAGCCUCUCACGUCUUCCCCUGCAGGCUCCUGAUCUUGUGUGUUUAUAACUGAUUUAUUGGCGGAGGUCGCUGUAUUUUCGCCUUUUUCUGGUUUUGGAAGAUAUGCUGUGCAGCGUCUUGCGCUGAGAGGGAUUAGUAUCGGCGAGUUAAUUUUGCGAGCACCAGGAGUCGAAGGAAAGAAGGGGAAGAAAAUAUGACUUUGCUUCACAUGUGUGGAGUUUUGACCCCCAUGUUAUUGUGAUAUAUCCUCGGUAAAGCAGCCUACUUAAACAUCUGAGUGGGUACUAGAGACCAGGAAGAAAAAACGUAAACAAUCUUGGGUGUGAUAGUUGUGUGGCGUGUGUUGAUAAGACGUGUAUCUCGCCCAAGAGUCGUGUGGCGGCCUCUUGUGAAGAGGCUCAUCUGCAUCAAAGUUGAGCUGACAGUGACAGGCUCUUGAACCACGCUUGGUUGACAGUGUGAUUGACAGGCGUUGAACUGACACGCUGAACGGAAGACCUCCACUGCAGCAGCUUACGUCACCCACUUGAUUGAUUUUUAAUUAUUUGCCAGUUGGGUGUGGCGCAGGCAAUGCCCAGUGCUUCAUGCGGUCUGUUGGAUCAGAUAAUGCAAUUUAAUUUUUGUUAAUAUGGUGCAGACUUAUCAACUCUACAAUUGGAUUAUGGGAUAAGAUAAUGAGUGUUCUUAUUGUUGUAUUUCAGAUUAGUAAAUGAAAACUUUCACUAUUUAGGCUUGAAUGUAUGUAUAGGCUACAACAAAUGUGAAACUGAAUUACGAGAACAAUUCGUGUGAGUGUGUUAAGGUUUGUGUUAUGUAGAACAGGCGUUUUCAAAUGCCAUUGUUUAGUGGCUCAGAUAGUGAUCAUUUCUGAACUCAAGUGCGAUCGUGAGAGAUUGCAAGAUGAAAUUUAAUUU
Procambarus clarkii (red swamp crayfish) is the source of this 2351-nucleotide non-coding RNA. The record is from RefSeq and is a predicted model, not a curated record. Lineage: Eukaryota; Metazoa; Arthropoda; Malacostraca; Decapoda; Cambaridae.